GCUAGGCACAGUGGUGCAGGUCUGUAAUCCUAGCUACGUGGGAAGCUGAGGCAGGAGGAUCACAAGUUCAAUACCAGCCUCAGCAACUCAGUGAGAUCUUGCUUCAA
RNAcentral lists this small RNA (107 nucleotides) under Marmota monax (woodchuck). The record is from RNAcentral. Lineage: Eukaryota; Metazoa; Chordata; Mammalia; Rodentia; Sciuridae.